RNAcentral lists this ribosomal RNA (486 nucleotides) under uncultured bacterium. RNAcentral's name for it is "bacterial SSU rRNA". It matches the Rfam family "Bacterial small subunit ribosomal RNA", at positions 501 to 989 of the family's 1533-position model. The record is from RNAcentral.
CUACGUGCCAGCAGCCGCGGUAAUACGUAUGUCACAAGCGUUAUCCGGAUUUAUUGGGCGUAAAGCGCGUCUAGGUGGUUAUGUAAGUCUGAUGUGAAAAUGCAGGGCUCAACUCUGUAUUGCGUUGGAAACUGCAUGACUAGAGUACUGGAGAGGUAAGCGGAACUACAAGUGUAGAGGUGAAAUUCGUAGAUAUUUGUAGGAAUGCCGAUGGGGAAGCCAGCUUACUGGACAGAUACUGACGCUAAAGCGCGAAAGCGUGGGUAGCAAACAGGAUUAGAUACCCUGGUAGUCCACGCUGUAAACGAUGUCGAUUUGGGGGUUGAACUUUGUGUUUGGCGCCCGUAGCUAACGUGAUAAAUCGACCGCCUGGGGAGUACGGCCGCAAGGUUAAAACUCAAAUGAAUUGACGGGGGCCCGCACAAGCGGUGGAGCAUGUGGUUUAAUUCGAUGCAACGCGAAGAACCUUACCUACUCUUGACAUCC